UUCCUACGGGGGGCAGCAGUGGGGAAUAUUGCACAAUGGGCGAAAGCCUGAUGCAGCAACGCCGCGUGAGCGCUGCCGGCCUUCGGGUCGUCCCGCUCUGUCCUCCCGGCCGAUCAUGACGGUACUUGAGGAGGAAGCCCCGGCUAACUACGUGCCAGCAGCCGCGGUAAUACGUAGGGGGCUAGCGUUAUCCGGAAUUACUGGGCGUAAAGGGUGCGUAGGUGGUUUCUUAAGUC
RNAcentral lists this ribosomal RNA (236 nucleotides) under uncultured bacterium. Its description in RNAcentral is "partial 16S ribosomal RNA". It matches the Rfam family "Bacterial small subunit ribosomal RNA", at positions 336 to 589 of the family's 1533-position model. The record is from RNAcentral.